RNAcentral lists this unclassified non-coding RNA (1637 nucleotides) under Hevea brasiliensis (rubber tree). Lineage: Eukaryota; Viridiplantae; Streptophyta; Magnoliopsida; Malpighiales; Euphorbiaceae. The record is from RNAcentral.
GGUUGCAUGUACAGUUCUCCAAAGGGGAAAAAAAAGAGGCACCUCAAACACUAGGGCUUGGCAAUAAGAAGUAAAAAACAACCCAAAAGGGCUGUGAUGGCCAAAGCCCAUGGAACACAAGGCACCAUAGUUUUUGAACUGUAGAAGCAACCACAACAAUGACCCAUGGGACAACUACAAAACACUGACAUUAUUACCCCCUACCCUUUGAGGAAAUUCCUACAAGCCAAAACACCAUGACAUGCAAGAGUAAUUUCUAGACCUUGACUCCUAAAAAGAACCAAAGAAGAAGCAAACUGGGAAAAAGCAUGGACCUAUGACGUGGCAUCUUCGAGGGGCAGGGCAGGGCAUCGAUACCCACCGAUGCAGAUUUUGGCACCAUUGUUCUCAGGGAAAAUUGGCCAUUGAAAGAGUUACACCCCUCUACUAGGCAACAGAUCGCCAAGGAAUUGAAGAUCUGAAAAAAUGAGAGGGAGAUGGCCAUAUACCCUGAAAAAAAGAACCAUAAAUAUGCUGCAUGGACUGGGAUGAUCCUUGGUAAAUAUAUAUAUACCCCAAAACUUUUCCGAACUGGCCCCUGUGCGGAACAGCUGCCUAGAGCUAUGGACAUUCGUUUAAAUUCUUCGACUAGCUUCGUUUUGUUAUCAAUUUAUGAAAGAAUGUCACAUCUCCAGAGCUGCUCCACAAGCAGAUCGACAGUGCUACUGCUGAUGGCAUUACAGUGUUGGAUGUUCAGACCCACAAGAGUCUCACCCAGAUUUAUUAAGUCUGCCAAGCUUUUGUCUGAUACGAAUGAGCAACCAGAAAUCGAAAAGAUCUGCAGACUCAGUUGCUUGGCAUGAGCUAGAGCUGCAACUCCUGAAUCCGUGAUCGAGCAUUUUGAGACAUCGAGAUCACUGAGUAACUGGCAGUUGUUUGCAAUGGAAGUCAAGCUAGCAUCGGUGAUCUUCCUACAACCGUCGAGAUUAAGCAUUUUAAGGUUCAAACCAUGGUACUCGAUGAUGGAUGAAACUACCUUGUCAGUCAGGUUGACACAACCACUAACAUUGAUCUUCACUAAACCUGACUGACAGUUUUGAAGCCAAGCUAGAAACCCACAAUCGUCAAUUCCAAGAAGUCCACUAAAUUCCACAUUUUGCAGCUGGGGGCACAGCUUGCCCAGUAAAGCUAGGUUUCUGUUGCCAAAACCACAGCAGUUGCGGAUGGUCAACGACCGCAAGGAUCCACUAGAGGCCGGGAUAGGCAAUUCUGAAUUCAUGUCCUUAAUUCCCAAGCAGCUUAUGAAAGAAAGAGCCUUCAAACUUGUACCGCAGUUCAAAAGGACACCAAAGAAUCCAAACUGAGUAAUCCUGUGGCACUCCUCCAAUUGCAAGCACUCGAGCGACCUUGCAGCUUUUGCAAAAGAGACCAGCCCAUUAUCAGAAAAAAAUGAACACUUCCUUAAACAGAAAUGCUUUAAAUUUGGACUACCCUUUCCAACAGAUUCAAGCCCCAUGUCCGUCACUCCACUGCAGGAAGAAAUUGUGAAUGACUUCAACUUUUGUAGUCCAUGACCAUUACCCAUGACCCAGAACCCUUUCUCACUAACAUUCUUAAGAUCGGUGAGGACAAGGUCAGUAACUGCCUUGCCAUAGUGC